CAUCUAGAGAAGAAAAUUAGGUGGAGCAUGACAGAUCGGUCUACUACUACCUCAUCAGCUCUAUCAUCUACUCCAUCUGCAUCAUUCACUCUAUCAUCUAUGUUUGAAAUGAUAGAUAGGAGUCGAUGCGUGUAGCCAACUCAUCGGCUCACUAUUGAUCCUAAGUAGCCUACUGUCGAUCCCCAGUAGCCUAUCUCUAUAUCUCCACC
This 209-nucleotide long non-coding RNA is filed under the name Elaeis guineensis (African oil palm). RNAcentral describes it as "long non-coding RNA (EGUI_LNC082169)". Lineage: Eukaryota; Viridiplantae; Streptophyta; Magnoliopsida; Arecales; Arecaceae. The record is from RNAcentral.